CCUACGGGGGGCUGCAGUGGGGAAUAUUGGACAAUGGGGGCAACCCUGAUCCAGCCAUGCCGCGUGUGUGAAGAAGGCCCUCGGGUUGUAAAGCACUUUCAGUGAGGAAGAACGCCUGGUGGUUAAUACCCAUCAGGAAAGACAUCACUCACAGAAGAAGCACCGGCUAACUCCGUGCCAGCAGCCGCGGUAAUACGGAGGGUGCGAGCGUUAAUCGGAAUUACUGGGCGUAAAGCGCGCGUAGGUGGCUUGAUAAGCCGGUUGUGAAAGCCCCGGGCUCAACCUGGGAACGGCAUUCGGAACUGUCAAGCUAGAGUGCAGGAGAGGAAGGUAGAAUUCCCGGUGUAGCGGUGAAAUGCGUAGAGAUCGGGAGGAAUACCAGUGGCGAAGGCGGCCUUCUGGACUGACACUGACACUGAGGUGCGAAAGCGUGGGUAGCAAACAGGAUUAGAUACCCCUGUAGUC
RNAcentral lists this ribosomal RNA (465 nucleotides) under Vreelandella stevensii. RNAcentral describes it as "partial 16S ribosomal RNA". It matches the Rfam family "Bacterial small subunit ribosomal RNA", at positions 338 to 795 of the family's 1533-position model. Lineage: Bacteria; Pseudomonadati; Pseudomonadota; Gammaproteobacteria; Oceanospirillales; Halomonadaceae. The record is from RNAcentral.